CAGCCGCCACGGUAAUACGAAGGGUGCAAGCGUUACUCGGAAUUACUGGGCGUAAAGCGUGCGUAGGUGGUUGUUUAAGUCUGCUGUGAAAGCCCUGGGCUCAACCUGGGAAUUGCAGUGGAUACUGGGCGACUAGAGUAAGGUAGAGGAUAGUGGAAUUUCCGGUGUAGCAGUGAAAUGCGUAGAGAUCGGAAGGAACAUCUGUGGCGAAGGCGACUAUCUGGGCCAUUACUGACACUGAGGCACGAAAGCGUGGGGAGCAAACAGGAUUAGAUACCCCUGUAGUCCCUGUCUCUUAUAC
Molecule: ribosomal RNA, 301 nt
Filed under: uncultured bacterium
Lineage: Bacteria
Description: partial 16S ribosomal RNA
Rfam family: Bacterial small subunit ribosomal RNA
Source: RNAcentral